Molecule: transfer RNA, 69 nt
Filed under: Ictidomys tridecemlineatus (thirteen-lined ground squirrel)
Lineage: Eukaryota; Metazoa; Chordata; Mammalia; Rodentia; Sciuridae
Description: Spermophilus tridecemlineatus (thirteen-lined ground squirrel) tRNA
Rfam family: tRNA
About the family: Transfer RNA (tRNA) molecules are approximately 80 nucleotides in length. Their secondary structure includes four short double-helical elements and three loops (D, anti-codon, and T loops). Further hydrogen bonds mediate the characteristic L-shaped molecular structure. tRNAs have two regions of fundamental functional importance: the anti-codon, which is responsible for specific mRNA codon recognition, and the 3' end, to which the tRNAs corresponding amino acid is attached (by aminoacyl-tRNA synthetases). tRNAs cope with the degeneracy of the genetic code in two manners: having more than one tRNA (with a specific anti-codon) for a particular amino acid; and 'wobble' base-pairing, i.e. permitting non-standard base-pairing at the 3rd anti-codon position.
Source: Rfam by way of RNAcentral
GGGAUUGUGGCUCAAUGGUAGAGCACUUGCCUUGCAUGUGUGAGGCACUGGGUUUGAUCCUCAGCACCA